AUGCUCACUUCGGCAGCACAUAUACUAAAAUUGGAAUGAUACAGAGAAGAUUGGCAUGGCCCCUGUGCAAGGAUGACAUGCAAAUUCAUAAAGUGUUCCACAUUUUU
Molecule: small nuclear RNA, 107 nt
Filed under: Saimiri boliviensis boliviensis (Bolivian squirrel monkey)
Lineage: Eukaryota; Metazoa; Chordata; Mammalia; Primates; Cebidae
Source: RNAcentral